GAAUAAGGACCAGGCAGAAUCGGGCUGCUGCUCGCCUCACCAGCCGGGGGAGUGGGGUACUCGCUGCUGGGGCCAGCAGCUUUAGCCCAGCUCCGGCCAACCUUCCAUGCCUCUUGGCUCACCAGGUCGCCACCCAGUUCAAGAUGAGCCUCCUGCAGCUGGUGGAGAUCCUGCAGUCUAAGGAGCCCGCCUACGUCCGCUGCAUCAAGCCUAAUGAUGCCAAACAGCCCGGCCGCUUUGACGAGGUGCUGAUCCGGCACCAGGUGAAGUACCUGGGGCUGAUGGAGAACCUGCGCGUGCGCAGAGCCGGCUUUGCCUAUCGCCGCAAAUACGAAGCUUUCCUGCAAAGGUACAAGUCACUGUGCCCAGAGACAUGGCCCACGUGGGCAGGACGGCUGCAGGAUGGGGUGGCUGUGCUGGUCCGACACCUGGGCUACAAGCCAGAAGAGUACAAGAUGGGCAGGUGGGUAGUGUCUGUGCCGGGUCCCUGCAGGGAAUGGGAGUGGCAACCCUGGGCUGAUCACUGCUGCUCUCCCAGGACCAAGAUCUUCAUCCGCUUCCCCAAGACCCUGUUUGCCACAGAGGAUGCCCUGGAGGUCCGGCGGCAGAGCCUGGCCACAAAGAUCCAAGCUGCCUGGAGGGGCUUUCACUGGCGGCAGAAAUUCCUCCGGGUG
RNAcentral lists this small RNA (674 nucleotides) under Pongo abelii (Sumatran orangutan). RNAcentral describes it as "retained intron". Lineage: Eukaryota; Metazoa; Chordata; Mammalia; Primates; Hominidae. The record is from RNAcentral.